Molecule: long non-coding RNA, 396 nt
Filed under: Androctonus crassicauda
Lineage: Eukaryota; Metazoa; Arthropoda; Arachnida; Scorpiones; Buthidae
Source: RNAcentral
AAAAAGUAUUUUAUUAAUGAUUGAAAAUUUGAACAAGAUAUAUAUAUAGGGAGAGUGUGAACUAAUAGUAGAAAUUGAAAAAUAUGUAAACAUUACAUCUUUUUUGCACUAUUAAGGCUGGUUUAUAAUCCGAUUCCAGCGUGGAGUUACAAGAUCGCUAGCCCGUGUUGGAGUUUGAAGCUAGCGUCAUGGUUUUUACUCAGACUCCAGUUGGCGCCAACAUCAGCACUGGCUGCUGUCGAGAGUUGAAAGUUUUUCUACUUUGGAGUUGGGAGUUGAGUAGCGCUAUACUACAAUCUUUGAGAAGAAUAAACAUGGCGUCAAAUUAUAUAGUCGAGUGCGACGUGGAGAAAUUUCUCGAAGCCAUUAAAGUCCAUCCAAUCAUUUUCGACCUCG